AUUGAACGCUGGCGGCAUGCUUUACACAUGCAAGUCGAACGGCAGCGCGGGGCAACCUGGCGGCGAGUGGCGGACGGGCGAGUAAUAUAUCGGAACGUACCCAGAAGUGGGGGAUAACGUAGCGAAAGGUACGCUAAUACCGCAUACGAUCUACGGUCGAACGUCGUGGACCGCAAGGCCUUAUUCCUUUGGAGCGGCCGAUAUCUGAUUAGCUAGUUGGUGAGGUAAAGGCUCACCAAGGCGACGAUCAGUAGCUGGUCUGAGAGGACGACCAGCCACACUGGAACUGAGACACGGUCCAGACUCCUACGGGAGGCAGCAGUGGGGAAUUUUGGACAAUGGGCGCAAGCCUGAUCCAGCAAUGCCGAGUGAGUGAAGAAGGCCUUCGGGUUGUAAAGCUCUUUUGUCAGGGAAGAAACGGUAGAGGCUAAUAUCCUUUGCUAAUGACGGUACCUGAAGAAUAAGCACCGGCUAACUACGUG
RNAcentral lists this ribosomal RNA (482 nucleotides) under uncultured bacterium. RNAcentral's name for it is "partial 16S ribosomal RNA". It matches the Rfam family "Bacterial small subunit ribosomal RNA", at positions 30 to 507 of the family's 1533-position model. The record is from RNAcentral.